UGCACCACCAUACUCCAGCCUGGGUGAUACAGCAAGACUCCAUCAAAAACCAACCAAACAAACAAACUCACCUGCUAUCUGUCUAUGUCUUGAUGGGCAAGCAAAAUGACUAAAGACGAUCUCACAAAUUCGUCCAUAGUGGGGAGAUAGUGAUUGCAUCUGUCACACUUCUUUCACAAUCAAAGUAUACUUUACUUUUAAAUAAAGUCCUUCUAUGCUUUCAGUGAGAAGGGGUGGGGAUUUUAAGCAAUUCCGAAGUUCACUGGGGGCACUCAGAUCCCACCCCUUAGGCUGCCAUAUGCUCACUGGAAGGAUCACAUUGAGGACCCUGAAGAGCCUGAAGAGGAAUUGCAUACCUUCUAUUAUUGCUGUUCGCUGUGGAUUGAAGUGCGUCUCUCCAAAAUCCAUAUGUUGAAGCACUAACCCCCGAUGUGACUGUAUUUGGAGAUCAGCCCUUUAAGAUGGUUUUGCCAUGUUGCCCAGGCUGGUCUCAAACUCCUGGCCCCAAGGGAUCCAUCCACCUUGUGUAAGACUGGAGCUGACAUCCAUCCAUCAGUCUUGUGGUCGUACUUCAAAGUCAUACUUCUUACCCUUCUCUAAUUUGAAGAAAGCUUGGGCUAAAGGUUGCACAUCUUCCACUGGCAACUUAUAAACCAUCAGAGAGGAGUACCUGAGAGAAAAGGAGAGGUUUUCCUUUUGAAUGACUAUCACUCAACAUAACUGACAAGUAACAGUGAACAUUUGGUACCAUUUCCAAAACAGCAACCAUGUUUAC
RNAcentral lists this long non-coding RNA (775 nucleotides) under Homo sapiens (human). RNAcentral describes it as "HSALNT0391258". Lineage: Eukaryota; Metazoa; Chordata; Mammalia; Primates; Hominidae. The record is from RNAcentral.